AAUUUUGGACAAUGGGGGCAACCCUGAUCCAGCCAUGCCGCGUGUCUGAAGAAGGCCUUCGGGUUGUAAAGGACUUUUGCCGGGGAGCAAAUCCUGCUGAAGAAUACUCAGUGGGGAUGAGAGUACCUGGAGAAUAAGCACCGGCUAACUACGGGCCAGCAGCCGCGGUAAUACGUAGGGUGCGAGCGUUAAUCGGAAUUACUGGGCGUAAAGAGUGCGCAGGCGGUCUUGUUAGUCUGAUGUGAAAGCCCCGGGCUUAACCUGGGAACUGCAUUGGAUACUGCAAGACUAGAGUACGUCAGAGGGGGGUAGAAUUCCACGUGUAGCAGUGAAAUGCGCAGAGAUGUGGAGGAAUACCGAUGGCGAAGGCAGCCCCCUGGGAUGAUACUGACGCUCAUGCACGAAAGCGUGGGGAGCAAACAG
RNAcentral lists this ribosomal RNA (423 nucleotides) under uncultured bacterium. RNAcentral's name for it is "bacterial SSU rRNA". It matches the Rfam family "Bacterial small subunit ribosomal RNA", at positions 360 to 775 of the family's 1533-position model. The record is from RNAcentral.